Molecule: long non-coding RNA, 595 nt
Filed under: Homo sapiens (human)
Lineage: Eukaryota; Metazoa; Chordata; Mammalia; Primates; Hominidae
Description: HSALNT0087657
Source: RNAcentral
GAUUGAUAAGUCUAAAUCCUCUUAAGCAUAAAUUUGCAGGGCAAGAAGGAAAUAGAUUUUACAGGCAGUGUGUACUUUUGUUAUGCCACAUUUACCACACAUUAGCAAAGGCAAACAUGGAGAAAGGAGAGGUUUUGAGGAGACAAACAAGUGUUGGACCUUCUGCAAACAGCCACAGUGAUUCCAAGAAUGGUAGCCAGGCAGAGUCUAAAAGUGGAGUUCAGGUGGACCUCAAAGUGUGUGGAAUUCAGGUAGUAAAAAACACUGUCAUUAAAACCUUGCAUUCCUUUUUCACUAACAGGACUUGGCUGCCAUGUUAUCCUCCCAAAGUGACUCUGACGACUGCAAUUCAACAAGCUAUGUUGUUGUUUUACUGAGCUGACCUCUCCAUUUAGCAUGAAAGAACUUUGAAGGGUUUAUAGAAUGAGGCUUGGGAAGAGUUGAACACACUAGCUGGCUCCUCUUUGAUAAGCUUUAAGGAGACAUAAAGACUAAGGAAAGUGUAGCAGUUUUAUCCUUUUUCCUCUCAUAACCCUGUACUCAAAAAAAAUCACACUUGAUAUAAGCAAAAGAGUACAACGUGUGCUAUUGGACU